This 72-nucleotide transfer RNA is filed under the name Mycobacterium phage Bongo. It matches the Rfam family "tRNA". Rfam says of the family: Transfer RNA (tRNA) molecules are approximately 80 nucleotides in length. Their secondary structure includes four short double-helical elements and three loops (D, anti-codon, and T loops). Further hydrogen bonds mediate the characteristic L-shaped molecular structure. tRNAs have two regions of fundamental functional importance: the anti-codon, which is responsible for specific mRNA codon recognition, and the 3' end, to which the tRNAs corresponding amino acid is attached (by aminoacyl-tRNA synthetases). tRNAs cope with the degeneracy of the genetic code in two manners: having more than one tRNA (with a specific anti-codon) for a particular amino acid; and 'wobble' base-pairing, i.e. permitting non-standard base-pairing at the 3rd anti-codon position. RNAcentral also lists the same sequence under 1 other name. Lineage: Duplodnaviria; Heunggongvirae; Uroviricota; Caudoviricetes; Vilmaviridae. The record is from Rfam by way of RNAcentral.
GCCGGUAUAGCUCAGUGGCUAGAGCACCUGUCUAGUAAACAGGAGACCAGGGUUCGAUUCCCUGUUCCGGCU